UGGUCAGAAACUAUACAGAAUCUCAUCACCUCUUCAAGUCCCAACCCAAUAUCUUCUUCUCCUACUCCAUCGUCCUCAUCUUCAUCCUCUUCCUCAACAUCGGUGACCACUCCGGUCCACAAUUGCUCAAAACAAACACUUCUAGACGCUGCUUCCGCCAUUUACGAAGGCAAAAGCGAUGUUGCGAGUGAGAUCUUGAUGAGGGUAUCGCAGGUCUUGAACCCGAGAGGUAAUUCUGAACAUAGGUUGAUGGAGUACAUGUUGCUGGCACUCAAAUCGCGGGUUAACCCUGUUGAGAAUCCGCCGCCAGUGGCGGAGCUGUAUAGCAA
RNAcentral lists this unclassified non-coding RNA (329 nucleotides) under Hevea brasiliensis (rubber tree). Lineage: Eukaryota; Viridiplantae; Streptophyta; Magnoliopsida; Malpighiales; Euphorbiaceae. The record is from RNAcentral.